AUAUCCUAGUAAAAUUGGAAAGGAAAAAAUUAUAUUAUAUAAAAAAGUAAAUGAAAAUGCGAACUCUUUUUUUACUGUGAGUAAUCAUGAAAAAUAUAUAACAAGUAAAAGUAGGUAUAACGACACAUCCACCCCUUUUAAUACUAUGCACAACAAACAUAAAUAUACCACUUCUGAGUUUAACCAUAUGGAUAAAUACGAACAUAAUAAUGAUACUUCUCCUGCUGUACCGAAUCUUAAUGCUAAUUCGUUGUAUAAUUCAAACAUAAAUAAAAGAAAUCGCAACAAAGGGGUGUAUAAAUAUAAUGAACAGUGUAGUAAUUUGUCAGCUUCUUCGAAUGCAUACAGUCCAAACAGAGCCAGUCCAAACAGAGCCAGUCCAAACAGAGCCAGUCCAAACAAAGCCAGUCCAAAUAGAGCCAGUCCAAACACAUACAGUCCAAACACAUACAGUCCAAACAUAGGCAGUACCAACUUAAACAGCAUAAACCUAAAUACGGCCAACAUGCACUCCAACCUCGUAUAUUAUAAAAAAUGUAGCACAAGUAUGAUCAAGUACGCUAACUAUGAAACCAGUAAUGACGAAGAAAAUGAAAAACAGUUAACAAUUUGGGCAAUGUAUAGUAAUUUUUAUGACAUUGUUAAAAAUAGAUACCAAGACAUUUCAAUCGAAAGGAUACAUCAUAGCACCUACGCUGUUUCAUGCACUUUUUUUGUUUCUGCAUGUGUUAUUAACAGAUUAGGUUAUCCUAUUAAAUUAAAGCAAAUAAAUCAUGACAACAUAAUUGUUAUUGAACCAUAUGUACGUAAACUCCUUUCUUGUGACUUUGCUUUACGUAGAAACAAAAUAACAAUAUCACACGACACAUUAAAAGAAAUCAAAAAUUGGUAUAACUUCCCUUUAAAAAAAAAUAUGAUUAAACGAAAGCAAUUAAAAAGUGCAAGGUAUGUUGUUAGUAAGGGGCACUCUAUUUGUGGAUGUAAUAAAUGUCGCUUAGUGAAGAAAGACAAGAACAAUAUCCCACCUGAAAAAUGCGACGUUAAUAAUAAAAAACAAAAUAUAAAGAACGUAAAGUUUGAUAAAGAUAUAAAUAACAACAAAAAAAAACUACACCUACAAAAUAAAUCAUGUUGUAUAAGAAAAAAAAAAAAAAUAAAAAAAAAUAAAAAAUGUUUUUUUUUUCGAAAAAAUAUUAAUAAACCAUUAGAAUCAGAAGACUUUCGAAUAACUGAUUUAUCAAUAAAUAAAUUAACUUGCUCAAAUCAGAAUAAAAAUACACCUCAAUUAAAAUAUACUGUACAUAUGUCCAUAGCUCCAAUGCCUUUCUUUAGGACUACAGUAAUGGAAAUUCUACCUUAUAUAGUUAUAAUAAAUAAUACCAAAUUUAAUAUUGUAUUUCAAGAGUAUAUUAAAACUUUUACUCAUUUUAAAUACAGUGUAUUAAAUACAGGGUCCUAUGUAGAAUUUCAUCCGCAAUCAAAAAAUGACGUCGCUUUAAAAAUUUGUGGAGUAUACCAAAACAGUAUAGAUUAUUUAAUUGAUGACUAUUUACAGAAAGAAUUAUAUUUAGAAAACCGACAGCAAGAAAACCAAGUUAUGCAUCACAAGGAUCAGGAAAAGGACGAUAGUGCACCACAUAGUCAUAAACAACAAU
Long non-coding RNA from Piliocolobus tephrosceles (Ugandan red Colobus), 1655 nucleotides. NCBI's taxonomy places the organism in Eukaryota, Metazoa, Chordata, Mammalia, Primates, Cercopithecidae. The record is from Ensembl.